This 274-nucleotide transfer-messenger RNA is filed under the name Fidelibacterota bacterium. RNAcentral describes it as "partial transfer-messenger RNA". It matches the Rfam family "transfer-messenger RNA", at positions 82 to 374 of the family's 374-position model. Rfam says of the family: Bacterial tmRNA, also known as 10Sa RNA or SsrA, is named for its dual tRNA and mRNA-like properties. Its role is to liberate the mRNA from a stalled ribosome. The record is from RNAcentral. Lineage: Bacteria; Pseudomonadati; Fidelibacterota.
AAUUAUAAACGGCGAAUCUAACUACGCACUAGCUGCUUAAUUAAAUAGUAGCUCGUUCCUUCUCUGCUCUUGCCCAUUGGCAGGGUCUGGGGCGUCGCUAAAAUGGGAUCGGAGACUCAUUCGUCAACGGUGGGAAUCUUAAACUUAGUUGAAUAGUCGUUAUAAGAUCCAGUCCGGAGGAGCUGUAACGGUGAAUUUAAAGUUCGGAAUAAACAUGUAGACGCUGAUCGGCUUUGCGUUUCGGACGGGAGUUCGAUUCUCCCCGCCUCCACAU